GUUACUAUUUAACUGAAAAGCAAUGGGCAAAUUCACAAGUUACAUGCUUCUACUUUGAGGCUGUACACGUCAGAUGGCAUUAGUUCCCAAGCCUGCGUGAGUGACUCCUUAAUGCUCUCACAUGAACCUGAACUUGGCCCUUCACAUUCAGCCAGGUAAACGUUACACCGGAGGAGCUCACCCGCUUCGGCCCACCCGCUCCUUCUGGAGAUCCUAGGGGACAGUCGGUUUCCCGGCCUUUUCCAGCUUCUGGAGGCCCCCUGCGUUCCUUGGCUUGUGACCCCGCUUCCUCCAUCUUCAAAACCAGCAGCAACCUGCCCAGUCUUUCUUACACGCCUGACUCUUCUGUCUCCCUCUGCUACGCCCAAGGACUCUUGUGGUCAGACUGGGCCCACCGGAUAAUCCAGGGUCAUCUUAAGGAGAGGGCUGUGUCCUGCAUGGAGUGAAGACGUGAAGUGAGUGGGAGAUCACACCACGCAGACCUGCGGAUGGCUUGAGGAGGGCCCUGGGCGUGGAAGAGGGGCCCGUGGCGCAGCCAGUGCUGUUUCAUUUACACAGGACAGCGGCCCAGCUACCAGCUCAGAGCAAAUCCCCCAGGCCCGCAGACUGCACGGACAGCGCACCUGAGCGGCGGCGCUGUGUCCCGAGAGCCGCAGAGGCAAGGUUCCGGCCCUUCUGAGGGCGCCUGGCACCCUGCCGUGCUGGCUGCCCAGCCUCCUCUGGUUAGACUCUGCUUCAGGAACAGACUUGACUGAACCUUCCCCUGGGCAAGAGGGACCCUUCGGCCAGCGUGAUACACUGAAUUCGAAAGUCCACCCUCCUACACGGACACAUUGACAUACUGAGUGGCGAGGGGGAAGCCUGACCGUCACACCCUGAGAGCUCUCUGCCCGGACAAGACUGGACAACCGAUCGCCGCUCCCCAGAAUCGCCCAGAUGACUGUGCACCAUCCCUCCCGCCAAGCCCGGCAGGCCUCCCGGCAAGAUCUGGAGUGGGAGAGCAGAGGCCUCUUCCAGUCUGUGUCUCAAGGGUGAAUCCAUGGAAGGCCAAGUUCACGUUCUGCGGGAAGAGGCCCACCUGAGUCCUGGCUACCGCAGAUUGGUAGACUCUUGAUCUGACCAAGCUGUUGGCCAAGACCCAGGCAGGCCUGCCUCCCCCUGCCCAGGGGACAGUAGUGGACCCCAUGUUCGCCUCCCCACCUCUGCCCCUCACCCACCCUUCCUGACAGCCUGAGAAGAAUCUCCCUCCACAUGC
RNAcentral lists this long non-coding RNA (1255 nucleotides) under Equus asinus (donkey). RNAcentral's name for it is "lncRNA (ENSEASG00005026286.1)". The record is from RNAcentral. Lineage: Eukaryota; Metazoa; Chordata; Mammalia; Perissodactyla; Equidae.